RNAcentral lists this ribosomal RNA (396 nucleotides) under uncultured bacterium. RNAcentral describes it as "partial 16S ribosomal RNA". It matches the Rfam family "Bacterial small subunit ribosomal RNA", at positions 523 to 918 of the family's 1533-position model. The record is from RNAcentral.
AUACGUAGGUGGCAAGCGUUGUCCGGAAUUAUUGGGCGUAAAGCGCAUGUAGGCGGUAAUUUAAGUCUGUCGUGAAACUGCGGGGCUCAGCCCCGUAUGGCGAUGGAAACUGGGUUACUUGAGUGCAGGAGAGGAAAGGGGAACUCCCAGUGUAGCGGGGAAAUGCGUAGAUAUUGGGAAGAACACCGGUGGCGAAGGCGCCUUUCUGGACUGUGUCUGACGCUGAGAUGCGAAAGCCAGGGUAGCGAACGGGAUUAGAUACCCCGGUAGUCCUGGCCGUAAACGAUGGGCGCUAGGUGUGGGAGGUAUCGACCCCUUCCGUGCCGGAGUUAACGCAAUAAGUACCCCGCCUGGGGAGUACGGCCGCAAGGCUUAAACUCAAAGGAAUUGACGGGG